UGAAUGGAUAAACGGAAAAUAACUAUCUUAACCAAGUUUUUUAAAGUUACUCAAAUGAGUGAAAAGUCUCAUAUAAAGAAAAUAGACGAGAAGACCCUAGAAAUUUUUAUAUAGGGUUUUAUAUUUAUUAUUCUAUUUUGUUGGGGCGACAUAGUACACAAUUAACUUGCUAUAUAUAAUAUGCUAUUUAUUAGUCGAAAGAAUAAAUUACUCUAGGGAUAACAGCAUAAUUCACCUUUGAGUUUGUGACCUCGAUGUUGGACUAGGAAAUAUUUUACUUAGAAGGUAAAAUUAUUGGCUCUGUUCGAGCAUUAACUCCUACAUGAUCUGAGUUCAAACCGGAGCUCCA
RNAcentral lists this ribosomal RNA (349 nucleotides) under Trochulus sp. 1 MP-2005. RNAcentral's name for it is "partial 16S ribosomal RNA". The record is from RNAcentral. Lineage: Eukaryota; Metazoa; Mollusca; Gastropoda; Stylommatophora; Hygromiidae.